GGGAUUCGAUACACAAGCGUAAGCGUUGGUAUACUCGACACAAUUGCAGAUAAUAUUUAUGGAUCAAUGGAUCUAGGCACUAGAAUAGGCAUCAGAUAUACCGAUAUACAGAUAUACCGAUAUAGAUACAGAUAUAGUAAGCAAAGUAGCAGCAUAUUGUAGGACGUAGAUCGUUGUGAUAGGAAUAUUUUGUAUUGUAUUUUGUAGUGGAAGAGCGGCUCUCGAUUGUAGUGUGCAAUCUCGGUUUCGUAGUUGAGACAGACGCUCUGACUGAGACUGAGGCCCUGAAAGAAUGAAACAGAAAGGAAAAGGACAGAGACAGAGACAGAAACAGAAACAGAGAAUAGGAGUAAAGGUAGAAAUCAAUAGAAUAUUGAAUAUGUUUUAAUAAUCUACGAACGUGUAAACAAUUGUCAAUGGAAAUUGUGCUGUGAAACAAUGUGUGUAUAGGAAACAACAAACAAAACAAAACAAAAAACAAUUAAUAAAACGAAUGUCUACAAAAAAGCAAGAGAAAAGAAGGAAUGGAAGAGGUCGAGGGAAACACGCUGAAUGUAAUUCUUAUGCAAUAUCACAUUUAUUUAGAGAAUCUUUGUGUACGAACGCGAGAGGAGGAAGGAGAGGAAGCUAGAUGGGUUAGCUAGAGAUUAGAUUAGGCAUAAGUAAACAAAACAAAACAAAACAAAA
Long non-coding RNA from Drosophila obscura, 687 nucleotides. RefSeq lists it as uncharacterized. NCBI's taxonomy places the organism in Eukaryota, Metazoa, Arthropoda, Insecta, Diptera, Drosophilidae. The record is from RefSeq and is a predicted model, not a curated record. The transcript is spliced from 3 exons.